UCAGCACCACAACGUUGGACAGCAACGACACGAAAAUGAUCCCCAAAACUAACACGGAAGCAGCUAUAUCCGCUGCGUCCAUCGUGACUUUUGAUGAGUGCAUCCACAGUGCUGAUACAAACUGUCAUCGUGACAGACAGGAAACAGGAGGGGGAAUCUAUUUGCUGGAGCACCUAUGGGCCUUGUGGUGGUCAUUUCCUGUUUUGACCAGAGGAGGGCACCCUCUGCUCUCCGUACGCUGCGGCUACUGAACCUGGUGGAGCAGCCCCCUGGAGACCGCGGAUAAUAGACAGCUAACAGGGAUCCGCAGAAUGGGCCUUUCAGCGCUGGCCAGGGCUCAUUGUCUACGCGCCAAUACACCCUCACCCCCCGUUUGGCAACAACGCAGACCCCGAUCAAUCCCCUGCACUGCACCCCCACCAGCCUGCUGACCCCUCCCCAUACACACUCACAUCCCUUGUCACUGCUAAGUAGACAGCAACGUCAAUCAUUGGCAUUACACUGCAUUGCUAAUGGCUGCCAAACAAUUUCACAGGAGAGAAAAGAGUUUUGUUCAGCCAUUUAUCAGGUAAUGGUGACUUGGUUUAAUGCUGUUGCCUCUGACCCCUGAGCAAAAUGUGAUAAUUGGUGUUAUCAUUAUCAGCGUGUCUUUUGUUGCUUUUCCAUGUAUUGUUCUGAUCAAAAUACAGCCAACAUCUGACUGUUUCUGAUUGUGUUCUGUUGUCACCUACCUAAGUGUUUAUACUUAGACUGAGCCAAAAGAAGCGUGAUAUGGUUUGUUUGCAUACUUUGUUGGCAUGCCAAGGUCUGCAUUAAUAUAUAUAAUCUUCAAACAUCCAUCUGGUCCAUAUUUAUUUUAACGUAGGCCUAUGCUCACGAGGCUUACAGUAAUCUUUUAUGAGCAGAUUUGCAUUGACUAUAAAUUUACGGUAGAUCAUGAACCCAACAUGAGUAACGACUUUCAA
Molecule: long non-coding RNA, 965 nt
Organism: Seriola aureovittata
Lineage: Eukaryota; Metazoa; Chordata; Actinopteri; Carangiformes; Carangidae
Exons: 3
Source: RefSeq, a predicted model, not a curated record